CCGCACGCACCGCCCGGAACUGCCGCCCGCCGCCCGCGCUGCGCGGGGGAACUGCGGUGGUGGCGGACCUGCCUGGGCGCCUUCCUCCUCUUCCUCCUCCUCCUUCUCCUCCUCCUUCUCCUCCUCCUCCUCCUCCUCGUCUCCGGCCAUGAAACUGGGGGAGAUCCCAAAGACUGAAGAAAGGCAAAUAUUAUCUUCAUAAAGGGCAAGAAGGACAAGCAAGAGAACUACAGACUGGUCAGCCUCAUUCCUUCCUGCUGUGGAAGGAUCGUGGAGGAAGCCAUUUGUGGCAAAAGAAGACACAACUAUGGCUGCUACAGUGAACUUGGAGCUGGAUCCCAUUUUUCUGAAAGCCCUGGGCUUUUUGCACUCCAAGAGCAAGGACUCUGCUGAAAAGCUGAAAGCACUUCUUGACGAGUCGUUGGCCAGAGGAACUGACUCGAGCUAUCGUCCCUCUCAGAAGGAAGUAGAGCAACCAAAAGUAUCUGUCACCAAACCCAUUAAGCAAGAGCCUAAAGCUUCAUCCAGUUUGCCUUCUGGCAACAACAAUGGCAAGCCCACUGCAUCAGAAAAGGUGAAAAAAGAAGCAGAAAAGAGAUCUGCAGAUAAAACAAAAGGGGAUCCUGCUGAAGGAGCUGAUGCACCAAAGAAGCCCAGGGUAGAGAAGCAAGAGGCUCGCUCCUCUCCUAUUACAGUUCAGACAAGCAAGGAUUUAUCCAUGCCUGAUUUAUCUAGCUUUGAGGAAACCAGUGCUGAUGACUUUGCCAUGGAAAUGGGAUUAGCCUGUGUUGUUUGCAGGCAAAUGACAGUUACUUUUGUGAAUCAGCUAGUGGAGUGUCAGGAGUGCCAUAAUCUCUACCACCAGGAUUGCCAUAAACCUCAGGUGACAGACAAGGAAGUGAAUGAUCCUCGACUUGUCUGGUAUUGUGCCCGCUGUACCAGGCAGAUGAAGAGAAUGGCUCAGAAGACACAAAAACCACCUCAAAAACCAGCUCCUGCAGUGGUUUCAGUUGCACCAGCUUUGAAGGAUCCAUUGGUCAAGAAACCAGAAAUCAAGUUAAAGCCUGAGACCCCACCAGCUUUUCUGGCAUUCAAGAGAACAGAAGUCAAGACUUCAGCAGCAGUUUCGGGGAACUCUGCCAGUACAAGCGUUUCCUCUUCAGCAACGAGUGGCCUUACAGGAUGGGCUGCUUUUGCAGCCAAAACCUCCUCUGCCAACCCAUCAACUGCCAAACUGGGAUCGACGGCACAGAGUGCCGGCGGGAAACCUGCAGCUUCUUCAAAUAACCAGAAACCCGUGGGUUUGUCAGGGCUGGCGACUUCAAAGACGGGACUGGGGGCCAAAAUAGCUUCCGCCAACAACAGCGCUAACCCCGUUCAGCUGAAGCCUCCCCCGCCGCUGACCCUGGGCAAGACGACGCUGAGCCGCUCGGUGAGCAGCGACAACGUGAGCAAGGCGGGGCUGCCCAGCCCCAGCAGCGCCGCCCCCAGCACCGGCGGCCCGGCCGGCGGCGGCAACGGCGGCGGCGGCUCCGGGGGCAGCAGCGCGGGCGGCGCCGGCAAAGCCGCGGCUGACACCGGCAACCAGCCGGCGUCCCUGAAGGGCCCCACCUCGCAGGAGUCCCAGCUCAACGCCAUGAAACGGCUACAAAUGGUCAAGAAGAAGGCUGCUCAAAAGAAGCUCAAGAAGUAGUCUGGCUGCUUGCUUGGCUGUGUUCCGUGAGACGGUGGCGUCGGUGUUUUUCUUAAAUGAAAUCCCCCAGGAACAACAAGAAGACAGGCACAGUGUGUAUCAUACUUACCUGCUGAUCAUCCAUACCCUGAAGAGCACCAGUCCCCUUGCCAUUAAUUGCAGGAUUUUCACAGAAGUGGAAAGGUGAGCUGCUGUCACUCUUCUGGUACCCUGGACUGCUUGUGCUGCUGUCAGCAGGGGGCCGUGAAGAGACAAAGAGGCUGAUGUCAUCAAAAUCAUCAUCACCAAAGCCAUUUUCUGCUACAUCCUUCUGCGCUUUGGCUGGAUUGUAUGGCUUCAGGAAGGAGGAAUACACAUACCCUGUGAGGACUAGAAACCAGAAUAAAGAGAUAGAAAAUAAAUAAACAGCAAAACGCUGCUAAAAUCAUUUCAAAACCAACCGUUUUAUGCAGCUGUUAGUAUGACAGAGGCAAACAGAUGGGGCCAGAAUGAAAAGAAAUCAAUAUCCCAAAGGGAAGCUGUUAUUGGGAUAUUUGUGCAGAGAACUUACUUCCUGUGUCAACAAGCCAUCUGCUCGUGCUUCCAAAGGGGUCCUUUUGCUCCACAACAGCCACCAGAUCUCCUUCCUGCAGGUCAAUGUCGAAUUCCUGCGCAGCGUUGCACUUGCGCUUGGCCUGGUACAGCGACUCCGUGCUGUACGUGGCCAGCAGCUUGGACCUGUGCUCCUCCGUUUGCCGUGGGGACUCCAGCUGGAAACAAACCAGUCCUCAGUAAUGCUGGGGUCAUUUCCAAAGAAAAAUCUGGAUAAAAAUGCUGCAUGUGGCAACUGACUCAGGGUUUUCACACGCAGACCAAGGAGUUACUUGCAGCGGGACCAAAUCUCCUCUGCAUAUGCAGGAAGAACCUGUCCCACUGCUAUAUUAACAGGUGAGCUGUAAAGGGCAGAUUUCAAAGAAAUGUAGGAAUUUCACUAAUUAAAGACCUCUUAGUCUGUUCUCUGCUCUCAAAGAGGUGGUGUUCUGUAUGUGAACUCUCUCCUGCUUAAUUGGUUUUCUGUAGCCAUGACCUUUGUAUUUCUAUGUAAUAUCACAAAAAAUACAUAAUCCAAAAAUGGGCUGAGGUGUGCUAAGGCCACAUAACAACUUGCGUGAUAAAGCAUUAGGGAAAAAAAAAAAACAAAAAAAAAACACCAAAAAAAACCAGUGGUACCCCAAAUUUUUGUGUGAAAUUACCUCUCUAAAUGAGGGCAAGAUGCCAUUACCAGCUGGAAGCAUAUUCAUUUCAGGGUUUGGUUAUAGGGCAGGGAGGGGGAUGCUGCACAUCAAUGGGAUCUUAACAUACCACAGAAGCAAGAGCACCUGAUGCUGAAACAACUGCCCCAGCUUCUCCUGUAAACCUGCAUCCAAAUCCUUAUUUUACUGUAAACUCAACUCCUAAAACCUCCAGAAACAUCUGAUGAGAUUGGAAACACAGAAUUCGUGGUGGAUUUUCUGAAUCUUGCGCUGUGGGUGUGUAUGUUUCUGCAUAUAUGUGUGAACACCCGUGCACAUAACCACAGCUGAGCACAAGGAAAGAAAAAUUUCUGAAUUAGAAGACUAAGAUGCACUACAAGAGUAUUUAAAAAAAGAAGUUACCAAAAAUAUACCUUAGCCUUACCAUGUGCUUAAAGGCCUAAGGGCAAUUUGAGGUAAUUCAAGUGGAUUUUCAAGAUAUUAACAUGAAAAAAGUGAAAAAUCAUCUGAAGUUACUGGUCAAUGAAAACUUUACUCCAACAACCUGAUUCAGAGUCACAGUGGAGAGACAAAGCCCAAACCUUAAGGUAGUAUAAAAAUGGAUUUGUUUCAAAAGUGAUCAAAAGAGGAUGCUUCAUACACAAUUUGGAUGUAUGGUACUCACCAGAGAAGGAACAGGUUUCUUUUUUUCUAGGCUCAAUUUUCCCUCAAUAAAGAUUGUACUGAUGUUUUCUUUUACAAAAUUCAGCUUGUGAACCUCCUCCAUCAAUUGAUUCUGCACUUCACAGAUGCUUGAGGAGGACAGCUGCGAACACAAAUGUGGGUUAGAUCUCAUGUACAAAAUGGGAGGGAGAUUGGAGAGAGCAGAUUUAAUUUAAUUUGCUGAGUGCUAGGAGUCAGGAAAUCUGACAAGUUAUGACUAUUUUCUGCAGAGCCCAUAAGCAGUGCAAUCUCUACAUAUGAGAUGUAAAGAGAAGAAAGGUCUUUGCUUAAAGAAAGUCUCUAAUAGAUGCUAUUACAUUUAAAAGACCUAGAAAUUAAAGUCAAAUCAUUAAAAAUAUUCUAAAUGGUGAUGAAAAUUAAGAGUCUUGCAUUUAUGCUACUGAGCCACCUGCUUUCACAUGCAAAUGGGCAUCUCAGCAGCUAUCAGAGUGGCCAAUGUGCUACAAGGUUUGGAGCAGUUUAUCCCACAGCUGUGUGUUUGUGCAACUGAGAGCUGCAAACAGGUUAAAAAUUGUUGGGUAACUGACAGUCUGUGGUACUGAAUAAGUGAUUUUUGUAUAUGCCUAAUACCAAAUGCAUUUGCUGAUGUAAACAGGAAGAAAAGAAAAAGAAGGUAAUUUUGUAGCCAGAUCCUCUCAGAAAACAAUGCAACAGCUUUCAACACAUGAAAACAUCAAAUUACAGGAAUGAAAUUUCUUAAUGCAGAAAAAUCCUUAAUUUUCCCAUUAAACACCAUAGCUCUAUGUUUUGAUCCUGACCUUGUCUGCUUAAUUUUUCAGCUGCCCCUUACUAUAAUGUGCUCUGUUCCAGCCUUGAUGGAAAGGAAUACUCCAGAAUUGCCUUACUAGAGUGUGUUUCCCAAGCAGCCUUGUUCUGUUCAGGUGAGUGGAUUUGUAUGUGUGGAAGGCAUUGUUGCAGCUGUGUUUCUCAGGGGGUUCAAGUCCUCCAGGUGAGGCUAUUCAUUACUGCUGAGAGAUAUCUGCAGGAGUUUCUGCAUCAUAUUUGGGUUUUAAAGCACCUUGAUUUUCAUAAAAACUAUUGCAUUGGAUCUCCUAACUUGUUUCUCUUUUGCAGUCAUCUGUGACUCUGCAGUCUAGCAGCAAAGGAGGUAUUCAUGCACUUUCUUAUAAUUUCCUGUGUCUUCUGGGCUAGUCAGGGUCCAUGCUAAGAUAUGCUAGCAGCUGCCUUCUUUUUGCCUCCCUGUAAUACUCUUGCCAUUACUAUCACUGCGACAGUAGGAACAGUUCCAUUAGGAUCAUUCUCAAAGAAAAACCCAGGUCUGACAAAAGUUCAGAACAGAAGUUCCUCAAAACUGACUCCAGAGUGACCUUGCUGUGACCUUCAGUACGUAGCGGGGGCCUAGAGGAAAGCUGGAGAGGGGCUUUUUACAAGGGUAUGUAGUGACAGGACAAGGGGGAGUGGCUUUAAACUGAAAGAGGGCAGGUUUACAUGGGUUUACUGUGACCCUGGUGAGGCACUGAAAUGGCUUCUACAAGGAAGCUGUGGGUUCCUUAUCCCUGGAAGCUUUAAAGGUAGGCUUGGAUGGGGCUUUAAGCAACCUGGUCUAAUGGAAGGUGUCCCUGUUAAUGGCAGGAAAAUUGGAACUAGAUGAUCUUUAAAAUCCCUUCCAACCAAACCAUUUUGAUUCCAACAUAAUCUGUACUGAGCUUGCAAAGGAAAAAAACCCCAAAUAUAACUGUGCUCAGCAGAACAAACAAAAUCAGAAAAUCAGUAAAUCAGUGUAACUUUCUAGAUAUGUGUCCUACAUAACUUUACCAAAGCAUACAGAAAGAAGAAAAGAGAAAUUAAGGCACAGCUACCCCUGUUUCUAAUGUACUUACUGGAACAGGCACCAUGACAGCAGAGUUUGAUUCAAGUGCUGCAAGCAUAAUAUUCCUGAGGAGGGUGAUGAAGCAGUGUAGACAGUUCAACACGAUCUUUUUGGCUGCUCCGUUGAAUACCUGAAGUUCUUCCACUAGCUGUGCAUUUAGAGCCUCAUAUUCUUUCUUUGCCAUCUCCAGGUCUGCUCCAGCUGACCUCUGAAUGUAGCUGUUGUAGUCCAACAACUUGUCAUAGCGCUUCUGGAUGAGGUUCUGAGGGCCUGGAAACAGGGCUUGCAGUGCUGAGAGAGGAGUCAAGACAAGCUUGUCCAGCUGAGCCAUCUGGAAAGUGUAAACCAGACCUGCUCAUUACCUUAUUCACACAGUCCAUCAGAUGCCAUAAGGGGCUGAGCCUGAUGGCAGCCCAUCAAGCAAUCUGUUAAUCACUCUUCACAAAGCUUUGCUGCCAGAGGCAGCUUCAAGCAGGGUCCAGCAUGCUUUAGAAUCUCCUUCAUAACGGGAGAUGUUAAUUCUUUAGAUGUUAGUUUCUCAGCUUUCAGUGUCUGCAAAUGGCAGGGGUCCCUUGGAGCAUGCAGGUACUGCCCCUAGGGAGCUGCCUCUGGGGGAAAACAGCAAGGAUUGGUCAAGUGGUCAAAUAAAACUGGUAUUUCCUUAGCUGGAAGGCCCACAUCAAUAUACAGUCUAAAGCAAAUGAGGUCUUAUUAAGUGGCAGCCUUGAAUUCUCUCAAAGCUGCCUUUUUUUCUUUUUUUUUUUUUUUUUCUUUUUUUUUUUCUUUUUUUUUUCCCUCCUCUCCUGGAAACAGCUGUAACUCAAUUCCUGUUUAAGCAAACACAAACAAUCACUUGAUUUGAUUAAAUUAGGUUAUGCUUGUUGGUUUUAUCUCUAGUAAUCAACAAAAUUAGACACCUGGUAAAAAAACCAGUCUUCCUCAGACUUUUCCAUUAGUCUCUAAUUGUCUCAAGGGAUUAAUAUUGCAUGAAAUAAAAUUUAUUUUUGUAAGUCAUUUGUUCAAAUACAGCACAGGCUUGUAGUGAGUGAAAUUCAUCAUCAUAUUUAAGCCCUUGGACAUUCUGUGUGAAUUAAGUUGUUGAGUUGGAUGUGAGAAUAAAAAAGCAGCUGCCUCUGCGUUCUCAAAAACAUAGCAGAGUUGAGGAGAGAUCCAUUUUAGCCCCAGAGUUGUUCUCCAAGGCCAAGAUGAUGUACACUGGCUAAAUAGCUCCUAUUUUAUUUCCACCUGAAAAACUGGGCUGUGUUUAGUGAACCGAUUUUUGAUGCAUUAAGAAAACAAUUCUUCCAAACUGCUGGACCUGAUUUCUUAAAAAGAGGCUACUGGGAAUUUCUGCCCUGAAAAUUUUCCAAAAAUCUAAUGAGAGAGGAAGGUAUACAUUAUUGACAAAGGCACCUCCGCCUCUGAAUUUUUCCAAGUUGAGCAGCUGUUUGAAUAAGCAGCCUAUCCCAUUUUGAAAAGACAUUUACGAAUCUUAUUAGAGCCAAGCAUUAGAGUUCAUUUUAAUUCUGAAAGCAGAAGACUAGUUGAAAAACUAUUACUAUUUUUUAAAUUGCUUUAUUAAUUACUACGGGCUAUAUUUGGAUUUUUCAUGACUUCCCUAUAUGAAGGAUUUGACAGCUCUAUGUUAAUAUCUGGACUUGAUGAUCAGAGAGGCCUUUUUCCAGCUAAUAAAUCUGAGAUUUUUACAGAUCUGUGAUUCCAGGAGUUAACAGUACAUAAGCACAAUAUCAAUCACAAAAGUCACUCAAACUGCAAGUGCUGGUAACAAAGUAGCAAGGCAACAAUCUGCUGCUCUUUUCUGAAGUUCAGGCAAAACAAAUACAUAAUUGUUCAGGUGAUACAAAUUUAAAACAAAGAUUUUAGUAUAAACCCAGGAAUUUAGCUUGACAGGUUUUCUUUCAUUCUUCUAAGGAAAAUACAAUUCAUUUAUAUUGUAUUUUAUCUUAGUUCCUACAUAAAUUCAACCAAAACUCCCACUUAUCCUUCCCAACAGAUUCCUAAGCUGUUUUUUUAACUCUUUUCUGUCCUAGUCUUCCUCACAUAUAGCUGUUUUCUCAGACAUACAGUAGCUGUGUAACACUGGACAUUGCAUUAACUUACAAAAUCUUCACACAGAUUUGCAGCGUUGGUCUGUUUUUCCGAACAGUCAUUGACUUUGUCAUCUUUAUCUUGCAGGAUUUCCUGAAGCUCAAUUAUAUUCUGGUCAGCCAGAUGUAUAGAAUCCUAAAUGAAAAGAUGGUAGGAAGAUGAAACUAUCACAAUCUGUUUUAAUAUGCUGCAUUCACUCAUGCAGCUAUUCAAUAAUACUUCUGGAAUCAGAAAUAUUUUCCAUCUCCAACACCUGUGCAGUUGCUGUGCAGUUUCCAGUCAUUGUGAGGUUGUUUACUGUGAUAAUAUUUUCCUCUGCUUUGUCUAUUUUCAGUGUAAACUACUUAAGAAUCAAGCUGUUAAUGUUCAACUGAAAGAAUUAUGCCCUAAACUAAUGAAUAUCACACUGGAAUUCACCAACUCCUCAGGAGGAAGCCAGACUACCUUGCAUCCUCAAAAAUCUCAUUUGGGGGACUAAGUAGGACUACAGUGGUGUAUUUCAGUUACUCAGAAUUUAAAUCUCAAUGAAGUGUGGAUCCGUUUGGAUAAGGAGCUGUCAGCACCACUGCAGGCAGCAGCCCUCCUUGGCUGAGCUCCCUGGCCUUUCCCUGUUUGCAGAACCAAACACGGUGCAUUUGCCAUAAGCCCUGGCCAGCUGGCUAUUGAUCUUGCCUAGCUCCCAAACAACCUCCCUACCUGGCUGGGGCACACUUACACUUGGACAGGCCUCAUGCCAUCUACAAAGCUCCAAGUAGUCCAUGGAAGGGGGCAGGCUGAUAAAUCACAAGCCAGCCUUCUUCUCUGGAGAGGAGGGUUGAAGCAAAGACAUUUUAGAGAACUUGAGCACUCUGCACAUCUAAUACUAACCCUCAACACAACCUAAAUAUGGGGAAAGGGAAGGAGUCCUUCCAUCCACAAUAUUUAUUUUAGGAUGUUUUAAUUCAUGUGGCUGCAGCUCAGUUCUUCAAUCUUUAAUCAGAAGAUUGGUUCAAUCUCAGUUAGUCCCCCACUGCAGCAGAGGGGGGUGACAGCUUCACACAGAGAUUGAAAGUCCUGACUGCCACCAGGCAGAACCUUCUUUUCUGCACCUGUGGGUCUCCACAGAACCUGCCUCUGUCAGGGGAAAAAUGCAAAAGUGCAGGCUUCAAAACUUCUUUGCCAUCGGCUCAGUAAUGCAGUGGCAGCACAGCUUAUUUAUUUAAUAUUCUGAUGUAGACAGCCCUGCUAAUAAAUAAUUUGGUGUUGCCCAGCCAGCAGCAGAAAUGUGCGUCAAACUGGUUAUGGAGAGGGUUUGUGACCACAGAUUGCAAAAAGGCCUGUACCCACCUGGAGAUGUUGUGAAUAGAGCGAAAUGUUCUUCACACACAAUUUCACAGUCUUCUCUAGACUUUGAAACAACUUUUCUUCCUUAUUAAAAGUUCCAUCUUUCACCUAAAAUAGACAUUUGCACUGUUAUUUUGGCAGCCCAAAGGAGUCUGGCUCAUGAAAGAAACAUCCAGAGCGCUGCUAGAAAAAUCCUUGAACUCCUCCCUUUGAAAACAGAUCAACCCCUAAUUCUCUCAAGCUCCAGCUGUAAUUCAAAACCAGCAGGCAACACGGCAGAGAAUUCCAUUUUUAAUCCUUGUGGGAGCAGGGAGUUGCUUUACUACAAGGCCGACAAAAGGC
Molecule: RNA transcript, 9253 nt
Organism: Haemorhous mexicanus (house finch)
Lineage: Eukaryota; Metazoa; Chordata; Aves; Passeriformes; Fringillidae
Gene: INTS12
Gene name: integrator complex subunit 12
Exons: 9
Source: RefSeq, a predicted model, not a curated record